Molecule: ribosomal RNA, 253 nt
Filed under: uncultured bacterium
Lineage: Bacteria
Description: partial 16S ribosomal RNA
Rfam family: Bacterial small subunit ribosomal RNA
Source: RNAcentral
UACGUAGGUGGCGAGCGUUGUCCGGAUUUACUGGGCGUAAAGGGAGCGUAGGCGGAUUUUUAAGUGAGAUGUGAAAUACUCGGGCUCAACUUGAGUGCUGCAUUUCAAACUGGAAGUCUAGAGUGCAGGAGAGGAGAAUGGAAUUCCUAGUGUAGCGGUGAAAUGCGUAGAGAUUAGGAAGAACACCAGUGGCGAGGGCGAUUCUCUGGACUGUAACUGACGCUGAGGCUCGAAAGCGUGGGGAGCAAACAGG